AGUCAACUCUGAAUGCCUGUUGGUCUUAAGCUGCAAAAGGAGAGUAUGAAUGAAUUUGCCCAACAUAAACUCCCAGAGAUGAAGGAGAUAGUGAAUGUUGAAAAAUGUCUGAUAGUGAAGAUUUGGCAGAUAUAAAAGAUAACAAAAUAAAGCAACUGUUGCAGUCACUCAAUGAGGAGUUAACUGAAAAGGAACUGGAGGAACUAAUCAGAUCUAGUGAGGAAGAGGAUAAUGACAAAGAAGACAAAGAUAAAAAGAGUAAAAUAACUCCUAACCUAAACAAACUGACUACUAAUGGCAAAUAUUCUUG
Molecule: long non-coding RNA, 310 nt
Filed under: Androctonus crassicauda
Lineage: Eukaryota; Metazoa; Arthropoda; Arachnida; Scorpiones; Buthidae
Source: RNAcentral